UACGUAGGGGGCAAGCGUUAUCCGGAAUUACUGGGUGUAAAGGGAGCGUAGACGGUGAUGCAAGUCUGGAGUGAAAGGCGGGGCCCAACCCCCGGACUGCUCUGGAAACUGUAUGACUGGAGUGCAGGAGAGGUAAGCGGAAUUCCUAGUGUAGCGGUGAAAUGCGUAGAUAUAUGGAGGAACACCGGUGGCGAAAGCGGCUCUCUGGCCUGUAACUGACACUGAGGCUCGAAAGCGUGGGGAGCAAACAGG
This 252-nucleotide ribosomal RNA is filed under the name uncultured bacterium. Its description in RNAcentral is "partial 16S ribosomal RNA". It matches the Rfam family "Bacterial small subunit ribosomal RNA", at positions 524 to 776 of the family's 1533-position model. The record is from RNAcentral.